Molecule: ribosomal RNA, 267 nt
Filed under: Triticum aestivum (bread wheat)
Lineage: Eukaryota; Viridiplantae; Streptophyta; Magnoliopsida; Poales; Poaceae
Description: partial small subunit ribosomal RNA
Source: RNAcentral
AUGAACAAUGCCCUCCUCUCUCCGUAUACGGCUGAUGAUGUUCGUAAAGCCUUGUUCAACAUUGGGGAUUUGAAAGCCCCAGGGCCUGAUGGGCUCCAUGCUAUUUUCUAUAAAAGGUUUUGGCCAAUGUUAGGAGAUGAUCUGAUCGAGGAGGUUUUGAAAGCAGUAAACACUUGCACUAUCCCAUCUGGUUGGAAUGAUACUACGAUUGUGAUGAUACCAAAAGUCAAUUCUCCGGAGAAGGACUGCCGGCCAAUGUGGGUUUAG